AGAAUCAACGCUGGCGGCGUGCCUAACACAUGCAAGUCGAACGAGAAAGUGGAGCAAUCCAUGAGUAAAGUGGCGACCGGGUGAGUAACACGUGACUAACCUACCUUCGAGUGGGGGAUAACAUCGGGAAACCGAUGCUAAUACCGCAUAACAUCGCAAGAUCAAAGCAGUAAUGCGCUUGAAGAGGGGGUCGCGGCUGAUUAGCUAGUUGGCGGGUAACGCCCACAAGCGAAGAUCGGUAGCCGGCCUGAGAGGGCGCACGGCCACACUGGAACUGAAACACGGUCCAGACUCCUACGGGAGGCAGCAGUGGGGAAUUUUGCGCAAUGGGGGAAACCCUGACGCAGCAACGCCGCGUGGAGGAUGAAGCCCCUUGGGGCGUAAACUCCUUUCGACCAAGACGAUAAUGACGGUACUGGUGGAAGAAGCACCGGCUAACUCUGCGCCAGCAGCCGC
RNAcentral lists this ribosomal RNA (456 nucleotides) under uncultured bacterium. RNAcentral's name for it is "SSU rRNA". It matches the Rfam family "Bacterial small subunit ribosomal RNA", at positions 26 to 518 of the family's 1533-position model. The record is from RNAcentral.